Molecule: ribosomal RNA, 347 nt
Filed under: Staphylococcus aureus
Lineage: Bacteria; Bacillati; Bacillota; Bacilli; Caryophanales; Staphylococcaceae
Description: partial 23S ribosomal RNA
Rfam family: Bacterial large subunit ribosomal RNA
Source: RNAcentral
CUUGUACAGGAUAGGUAGGAGCCUUUGAAACGUGAGCGCUAGCUUACGUGGAGGCGCUGGUGGGAUACUACCCUAGCUGUGUUGGCUUUCUAACCCGCACCACUUAUCGUGGUGGGAGACAGUGUCAGGCGGGCAGUUUGACUGGGGCGGUCGCCUCCUAAAAGGUAACGGAGGCGCUCAAAGGUUCCCUCAGAAUGGUUGGAAAUCAUUCAUAGAGUGUAAAGGCAUAAGGGAGCUUGACUGCGAGACCUACAAGUCGAGCAGGGUCGAAAGACGGACUUAGUGAUCCGGUGGUUCCGCAUGGAAGGGCCAUCGCUCAACGGAUAAAAGCUACCCCGGGGAUAACA